Molecule: long non-coding RNA, 548 nt
Filed under: Pandoravirus salinus
Description: putative ncRNA
Source: RNAcentral
GCCGACGACGCCAGACAGACGGGCAGACGGCGUCAUGUAAAAAGGGAGACACUCAAUCGAUCGCCGCGAAGCGGCAUUUAGAAAAAAAAUUUCGGGGUGUUUUUUUGUGCGUAGGCGACACAAAGGGACGGUGAGCCGACGCAGGAGCAGACGGGCGGGCGAGGGCACUGGCGCCGCCGCCGACGGCAAAUGGAGGGCGGCAUUUUUUCUGGGGCGACGCCUUUGCAGACAGACGGGAAAAGAAAGAGGAAAAUCCAAAAGAAAAAAGAGACGCCAAGAGCGCCCAAGAUCCAAGAGAGGAAAAAAAGGCGGCAGCGACAGCGCGGCGAUGUGCAAUACGGAUCGUGUUUGUUGGCGGGCCGACAAAAUCGCGCGACGACAACAUGGCAUGGGUCGGCGGGCGACGCGCGAGCGCCACCAACAAAUCGAGCGGCAAAAUUUGCGAGGUACCAGGAUAUAUGUAGGAAAAAACCGGGAUAAAUCAAGACAUUUACUUGUCGAAAAACCGGGAUAAAUCAAGACACGAAAGUAUGUCUUUCUUUUGCGGC